Molecule: transfer RNA, 76 nt
Filed under: Candidatus Peribacteria bacterium
Lineage: Bacteria; Candidatus Peregrinibacteriota; Candidatus Peribacteria
Also listed under: 1 other name
Description: tRNA-Ala
Rfam family: tRNA
About the family: Transfer RNA (tRNA) molecules are approximately 80 nucleotides in length. Their secondary structure includes four short double-helical elements and three loops (D, anti-codon, and T loops).
Source: RNAcentral
GGGGCUGUAGCUCAGUGGUCAGAGCGCCUGCUUUGCAAGCAGGAUGCCAGGGGUUCGACUCCCCUCAGCUCCACCA